GGGGACAGCUCAGUGGUAGAGCACAUGCUUGGGGUACAUGAGGUCCUGGGAUCAAUCCCCAGUGCUGCCA
This 70-nucleotide transfer RNA is filed under the name Camelus bactrianus (Bactrian camel). It matches the Rfam family "tRNA". From Rfam's summary of the family: Transfer RNA (tRNA) molecules are approximately 80 nucleotides in length. Lineage: Eukaryota; Metazoa; Chordata; Mammalia; Artiodactyla; Camelidae. The record is from Rfam by way of RNAcentral. RNAcentral also lists the same sequence under 3 other names.